Non-coding RNA from Salmo salar (Atlantic salmon), 680 nucleotides. The record is from RefSeq and is a predicted model, not a curated record. Lineage: Eukaryota; Metazoa; Chordata; Actinopteri; Salmoniformes; Salmonidae.
CCUGAGCAGAAGUUGUCCUGCAGUGGGAGUCUGUUCCUCUGGAGCAGAGGCAUGGCUUCAGCUGCAACUACAGCCUCUAGUCCAGAUUGAAGAGGAAAUCCUGAGGUUGUAGUUACGGCUGUGGUACCAGUUGAGUGGUUUGUCUGGACUGUACAGGAUCCACAUGGAAGGAGUCCUGCUGGUCCAACGGCUGUAGAGGGCAUCGAUUCAGUGGACACCAUCCUGCUGUGCUCACUGUCCUGAUACUGCUGACCUGCCUACAUUGGAGACAGAGGAUAAAGCAGAAACUCUGACCCCGCACAUAGUAGCCUGUCAACCUGGAACUCCGAGACUAAAUACACCACAGUCUUUUUCACUGAGGGGGUAGGUACUUUUGAAUGCCAGAUAGCAAAAUGGGACUGUGCACUACAAAAUGGAAAAACACAGAUCCACUACACAUAUCUGUAGACAAAUGCUCUCGUUGAAGAUCUCUGGAAGUCAAAAGAAACUACACAGAGUAGGACUCAUUUUGUGAAAGUAUUAUUUUCAUUGAUUACUCUGUGUUGCACUUUAAUGCUAUUGUUAGUCUAACCAAUAUUACAUGUUUAAAGUUAUUAUUAUAAUUUCAAAUACAGCCCCAUUGUCCCCACUCACCCAGUAGGGGGCAGAAACCUAUUGAUUUUGAAUGCACAAUGAACAAA